Molecule: non-coding RNA, 499 nt
Organism: Parasteatoda tepidariorum (common house spider)
Lineage: Eukaryota; Metazoa; Arthropoda; Arachnida; Araneae; Theridiidae
Source: RefSeq, a predicted model, not a curated record
GCAAUGAAUGUGUGCAAACAUAAUUGAAUUUGAUAAAUUUACUCUUUGCAGAUGAAUGGUUUAAAUGUGAUGACGACACUGUUUCUAUGGUACCAUCAGAAGAAAUUUUAAAACUAUCCGGAGGAGGGGACUGGCAUUGUGCAUACUUGCUUCUUUAUGGCCCACGUAUACUGGAAGUAGAAGAUGAAUCAGGAACUUCUUCAUGAACAUUUCACUGAAAAAUCAUUAGUAUAAAGUCUAAAUCCUCACAUUGUAACUAACUGGCUGGCUUUUGGGCCCUGUGAAAACACUUCACCUGUACUUUAAUCAUUCUGUUCAGUCUGUUUAAAUAAUAUUAAGAAGCCUCAUUUAAAGUCAGCAUUAGAAAAUUCUUUUGUAAAAAAAAAGAACAAAAAAAAAUGAUGCAAAACCUAAGUUUGUAAUUCCUUUUUUGUUGCUAUUGCUUUUAUAUAACUUUCGUAUGUUGUUAUAAUAUUUUGAAUUAAAUUAUGCAAAUAAG